Molecule: long non-coding RNA, 637 nt
Filed under: Anser cygnoides (Swan goose)
Lineage: Eukaryota; Metazoa; Chordata; Aves; Anseriformes; Anatidae
Description: lncRNA (ENSACDG00005011354.1)
Source: RNAcentral
ACGGGGGGGGUCACGAUGUCACACGGGGACACAGGGGAGUCAAAAUGUCACAUGGGGACACGGGGGGGGAACAUGGGGGGCUCAUGACGUCACACGGGGACACUGGGGGUUUCUCACGAUGUCCCCCCCAGCCUGGUGCCUGCGCGCCGAGGGGGUCAGCGCGGUGCUGCUGGGGGCCGCCAGCCCCGAGCUCCUCCGCGAGCAGCUGCGGGCCCUGCAGGUGCUGCCCCUGCUCUCCCCCUCCCUCCUGCAGGAGCUGCAGGGCCUCCUAGGGGCCGCGUAGGCCACGCCCCCUCUCACCUGAUUGGUCCAAUCCUGCAUGAGCCCCGCCCCUCCUCGCGUGGCUCAGCGCCGCAACCAAUCCCAGCCCCGGAGUGACGCGUGGGGGGCGGAGCCACCGGGCGUAGCCCCGCCCACUUCCGGGAGCCAUGGUGACCAUAGCAAUAAUCCAGCCCCGCCCCUGCACGGCGCGUGGGGGGCGGGCCUCGAAGCACAAGCCCCGCCCCUUCUCCCCACUCCCCACCAAUCGCAGCGCUUCCAGUCAGGGGAGGGGCCCCGGUUGGCUCCUCCCUCUUGGCCCCCGAGAAGGGGGGUGGCAAUAAAGUGGCUUUUCCCAAGGGGGGGGUGGCCAUGUUGU